AUAGAACAAAACAAAAAAGAGGUGGGGAAAAAAGAAAUUUAAAAAACAGGGGAAAAAACAAAACCAAAUCGGGGAAAGAAGGUUGGAGUCGGUUUGUUCUGCUGCUUCCCGAGCUUCCCCCGCCCCCAGGUGACAUUCAGCAUUCAAAGCGGGUGUCUGCUCGUUCCACUCCUGUUUUCCUGCCUGCCCGGGAACUUUUCCAUCUCUGACCCACCGGGUCCCUCCUCCUCCUCCUCUUCCUCACAGCCUCGCCCCGGGGAAUGUGAACCCCCGGCCCUCCCGGGAGCCCAGAGGGAUCCCAGCGCUGGAAACGCGAGGUCAUCGCUCGUGUCCUCUCUGCCAAGGUCAUUAAGAGCGAUGCAGAUGAGCUUAAUUAGCGCCGGAGGACGGAGAGAGGGCGAAGGGAGAGGGACAAAAGCAGUGCUGGUGUUUGGGAGGGAAAUCCUUUCCCAUCCCACUCCGAGCUGCCAUAAAAUCCGAUUAGUCCGAGCAGGGCUGUUUAUUUUUAUUUAUCUCCCCAAAUAAAUUUUCAGGAGCGUACUAAACAUCGUUUAUGUCGCGAGGAAUGAGGUUAAUAAAUUAAAUGAUAAUUCCUGCUCGGGCAGCAGCGGGACCUGGCUUGGGCCCAUCCACAAUUCCCGGAAAUUCCCGGAAAUUCCCAGAAAUUCCUGGAAAUUCCUGGAAAUUCCCGGCUCCACUGGGGCCGCAGGACAAAGGAGCACAAAGCCACGGCAAAAAGCAGCAGCAGCGCAUCGAGCCACGCUUCCCACCCUGCCAGAAUCCAGGGAAAAAGGAGCAAGCACCAGCCCAGAUCCCGCUCUGCCCUCCCUGAGCAGCAUCCCCGGGGCAGCUCCGGCAGCUCUGGGGUUCUGCUCCCACGAAUGAUUCAUUUAUUUGAUUUAUUUCCUUUCCAGGUGAAUUUUCACCGAUAAAUUCAGCCCAGGCCGGAUAAUUAACAAAGCAGAGCCGGCUGGAUUUGCAUCCAGACAUCCAGAAAAUCCCUUUUUCCUGCCCUGUGCCUCCGUUCCUUCCAGUCCGAGGUGCUGGGAUGAGACACAACCAGCAGCAGAACCUGCUCAGGAAUAAUUCCCUGGAACGGCCUAAAAAUUCAUUUUUUAACAUCCCAGCACGCAGAGAGCGCUUGGAGAGGGAUGAGGAUUUCUCCGGGCAGGUCCUCCAUGGGAACAGAAGAGCUGGGAAUUCUUGGAAUCCUUGGAAUUUGCUGGGAUGCAAAGCUCUCACAAAGGAUCCGCUCCUCUUCCCUCCCGCGCUGUUUAAAGGAAAUCGAGGUCGGGCUCACAGGCUGAAUUCCUGAAUUUCUGAAUUCCUGAAUUCCUGAAUUCCUGAAUUCCACGCCUUCUCCUCCGGCUCUCCAAAAUCCCCUGGAUUUCACCGGGAAGCGGCACCAGCGCCGUGCCGGGAGCUGGCAGCGCGUCCUGGGCCGCAUUCCCGUCCCGGGCUCAGGGAAUUCUCGCUCCACCAUCCCGGAAUAAAGGACAUUUGAAAUCCAAAGGAAGGGAAUUGCUGUUCCUAUAGCGGAGAUGGGGCAGAGCCCGCCCCAGUCCAGGAUCAAAUUCCUUGAUUUAAGAACCACCCCGGGGUCUUUUCCAAGUGGAUUUGGAGCGUGGGUGGGCAGGGGCAGCUCCAGAGAGGGGUCAGAGCUCCAGGGGACAGCGGGGCCUCUCCCUGGAUAUUCCCUCCAAGGAAAAUCCCAUCCCUCGUUUUGGAGAGCCCCUGGGCUCGUGGCAUUGCUGGAUUUGCAAUAAUUUGGGAUUUAUCAGAGCCAGGCGGAUUCCAAGGGAUUCAUGGGAUGAACAGGGGGAGAUGUCAGAGCUCGGCAGCUCCUUCCCCUUCCCGCAUCUCUCCAGGAUUUGGAAGUUUUGCUGCUCCAGGGUCGAAAUUCCAAGGGCUGGAACCCGAAUUUCCUCUUGUUUGGGAAUGGGACAGACCCAGGAUGAUCCUCACGGUCCCAAAUAUCCCAUCCCCAUCAGGAGCCGGGCUCCCAAAAAUCCCAUCCACCGACGCCCCCGUGCCAGCAGGAGCAGGUCAGACACCCCCUCGGUGGGACACAGAAAUCCAUCGGGGAAACUUCGGGAAAAAAAUGGAAAAUGGGCUGGGAUCAGCCCGGUUCUGGUGCCUUUGCUCCAACCCCGGCAGCUGGGAAUGAAAGGAGCAGGCUUGGAAUUGUCAGCCGGGAAUUCCUGACCUCUCCUCGCCAUAGUAACAACCACCAGGAAAACAACAACAACAACCACGGCAAAACCUCUCCGGUUCCCUGCCUCUCCCUGAAAAAAAAAACGGCAAAAAAAGAAAAAAAAAAGGGAAAACCGCUGGAAUUGGAAGAGAUUUCAUGGUGCCGAGCAGAGGAAAAGCAGCAGCUCCUUUGGUACCCCGAGCAUCCCGGGCCUGAGUGGGCUGAAAAAUCAGCAGAGCAAGGUGAGGUUUGCUGAUGUCACAGGAUUUCUCGGGAAUACUCACAGCUCCGGAGCCGCCGCGCCAGGUGGAGCAUGGCUGGAAAAGCUCCGGAUCUUCCCAAACCCUCCAGCAUCCCUUUCCUCCCACUCCCCGCCGGGCUGCGAGCGGCG
Long non-coding RNA from Prinia subflava (tawny-flanked prinia), 2585 nucleotides. RefSeq lists it as uncharacterized. The transcript has 3 exons. Lineage: Eukaryota; Metazoa; Chordata; Aves; Passeriformes; Cisticolidae. The record is from RefSeq and is a predicted model, not a curated record.